AUGCAGGUGAAUAAAUCUCCAGGUGUGGACCUUAAAGACUUUGGUUUUGCUCCAAAACCUUCUCUUCCCAGUAUAGCAAGGUCAGAAUAUUUAAACACACCUGAAUUGCCUGUAAUGGAGCAGAGGGAUCAGCAUGAGAUCUAUACAAAAAGUCAGCAACAACAACCAUCUGCAUAUCAAGACAAAGAAGUUUUGAAAGUGAACUUUGAAUUCGGAAAUGAAAUUUGGGAUGACUUUGAUGAUGAAAACUUAGUAGAAAUUACUAGCUUUUCAGCUGAAACUGAGAAGACAAAAACAUCAGGAUUUGGAAACACUUUGAGUUCAAGUACUGGGGAAAGUAAGCUACCAUUCCAAGAAUCAAAAGGCCAAUUCCAAAGAGAAACGUCUAAGAGUUUUGUCUCAUCACAUGAGAAGCCAGAUAUUUAUUUAUCAAAUUCUGCUGUGUCCAAGUUUGGUGCAUCCUCCAUGACACAAUUACCUCAACAAUCUGGAAAUGCAAGUAUUAUAAGAAGAAACACUUCUCUCUUUUUUAUUUUAAAUACUGCCUGAAGAGUUAAACCUUCAAUGGUUGCUGACUUUUUUAACCUCAAAAUAUAGGUCCAUUUACAAGAAAGAAAACAACAAAGUCUGUCACCAGAGAUUGAAAAGCUAUGCUUUACUCGCUCUGAAAAAAUAUCAAACUCUUCAAAUUUUAAUAAGAAAGUGGAUUGCUUUAUUAGAAAUGAAUGCAAAAAGGAGAUUGAUUUCAGGUAAGAACUCUUUAAAAAUAUUUUAAGACUAUACAAGUGAAAGCUUUCUACAAAGAAUUUCAGCAUUCCUUUUCCCUUGGUUCAUUUUAAGGAUCAGAACCUAAAUGUUUUAUUUACUUAAAGAUGUAAAAAUUUUAGACCGCUGGUAAGCUAAGCUCCUUAAGAUAAUUCAAAAUAUCAAAUAUCUCAAUUUUUGAGAACCUAUGUUUUUGAUGCUAGUAAUUAAAACACUGUGUUACAUUGAUAAACUUUUUUAUUAAUUUGAAUACAAUACGUUGAUAAUAUGAAAUAUGAGGUCACUUGAGAAAUGAGAUCAGCUAAUUUUUCUAAUGUUCUAGUUGUAUUUCAGCCCCCAAGUUCUGUUAUAAUUCUACAAGUUCAAAGAAGAAGUCCGGUUAAGUCUAAUCAGUGCCCCUACUGCUGAUUGUUUUUAUGGUUACUUUUAGCAGUUUCCCUCUUCCUCUUGAAUAGUCAAGGUUUCGAGACCUGUUGACAGUGAUUAAAUGGUGCUACUUUCUAAUAUGUCUAAAGAAAUAUCUAUCUAAUAUACUUGUCUCUACCUUUCAUAGUUCAUGAAUUCUAAUUUCCUCCAGACUUCCUAUAAGAUUAUGCCUGUUGAAGUUCAUUUGAUAAAUUACCUCUCAGCAAUCUUCAAGUUUAUCCAUUUUAUAUUUUUAGUACAUUAUUUAUUAUAAAUCUGUGUUAUAAAAAUAGUUACUUUUACAUUUGCUUUUCCCCCCAGUAGGUAUCAUCCUGAUGAUGAAGCUGAUGAAAUAAAGUCUUUUCUGGGAAUAUUUGAUGGUAUUUUCUAAAACAGACAAAAAUGCUUUUUAUAUUAACAAGACAAAGUAUGAAGACACCUUACAAAGCAUGAUUUUUAUUUUUAAAAAGUAGUUCAUACUUGUUCAGAUUUUUUUUUUCUUGGAUUUGACCAACUUUGUUGGCUUUUUUUGCAACAAAAUAUUUGGACUGAUUUUUCCCCCAUAAUAUUGUAACUUCAUGAAAAGCACUUUUAUGGUGGCUUUGUUUCAUAAGCUGAUAAUUAAGCUUCAUUUAGAAAUAAUUAUUUGGUUAUUAAUUGGAUUUAGACCAGAACCAAUAUAAUAUUUUCUUAAGAAGAAAUUCUGUGAAGACCAAAUGUUUGUAGGUCAGUAAAUCUAUUUAUUGUAUCAAUUUUUCACCAUUAAUUUACUAAAGGACUUUUUUUUUUUACUAAAGAUUGUUGAGAAUCCAGUGGCUGUCUGAACCUAUUCUUAUAUCAUUUCAAGCAACAAUAAAGGAAACGUUAAUCAGUGUAGACUGUCUUCCUUUAACUUGUUUUUUAAUGUGGUGAAUUCUAAAACUUUGUUAUGUUGAUUUUUAAUACAGCAAAAGUUAUUUGAUAUUAUUUUCCAGUGAGUUAUCUCUCAGAUUUCUUUAUUAAUAAGUAGUAUUAUAGGCACUCUGCUGCUGCUGCUGCUAAGUUGCUUCAGUUGUGUCCGACUCUGUGCAAGCCCAUAGACGGCAGCCCACCAGGCUCCCCAGUCCCUGGGAUUCUCCAGGCAAGAACACUGGAGUGGGUUGCCAUUUCCUUCUCCAAUGCAUGAAAGUGAAAAGUGAAAGUGAAGUCGCUCAGUCGUGUUUGA
RNAcentral lists this long non-coding RNA (2374 nucleotides) under Capra hircus (goat). RNAcentral describes it as "lncRNA (ENSCHIG00000006893.1)". Lineage: Eukaryota; Metazoa; Chordata; Mammalia; Artiodactyla; Bovidae. The record is from RNAcentral.